GGUCCCCCCGGGCGUCGAUGAAUGUGGGGUACCAUUCCUUGAUGAUGUGGUCAUGUUUGUAGUCGGCCUUAUUGUCCUUUAGAUGUUCCACGGUGUUCCGCUCGCUCUUCUCAUAGGCCUCCCGGGGCUUCCGGACAGACACCUUGCAUUCUCGGACCUUGUUGACGAUGAAUUCUUGGAUGAGAAACCUGAUAUCUUCCAUGAGGCAGUCAUCAUAAAGAAGUCUGAAUAUCUUGGUUGAGAGCUAGACUUUGGAAACAGAGAGACCCUGUAUAAUAACAGACUAAGAAGUAAGGAAGACAAGCCCAGCCAGUCCCACAACUAUUUCAUUAAUACCAGGUAAAGCAACAGACCUGCCAGUGAAGCAUCUUGGAUCCUUUAGCUUUAGAAAAUCAGCUCUGUUACAUCUGCCGCCUCCUGUGAGCACAAGGCACAGAAAGUAGACCCUGUAACCCUCAGAGGGCCUGAAGGAAAGCGAUGCUGGUGUGACCUGCCCAAGAGGAUGGUGCCCAAGGCAGAGCAUUCUAGACCCUCAUAGGCAACAGAGCCAGAAUCUAUUGAAAUAUUAUUUUUUUCCGUGCAUCCACAUUUGUAAGAACACUGAUGGAUAUGAUGGUUUCUGUUUCAUCAAUAUUAAUUUAAAGCUGCUGAAUAUCCUUGGAGAGCUAAUCAAGAAGGAAUGGAAGUGAGGAUACAGAGAAUGCACAAACGGGAACCAUGUGAGGACAGUGAGAAGGUGGCCAUCUACAAGACGAGAUGAGAGGCCUCAGAAGAAAGAAACCAAAUCUACAGACACCUUGAUCUUCAACUUCUGGCAUCCAAAACUAACAAUACCAUCAGAUGGAAGACAUCUGGAGUAUAUUUUCAAGCUCUAUAUUACAGAUCUCUUAAAAAUCAGAAAGUAAUUAGGCAAAGGAGAUAAAGAAGUAAAAGCAUGUUUAUUAAAAAAAAUUUACCAAGAAUAUGGAAACAUUAUAAGAACAAUCUGUUCUGUAAAAGAAGUACUACCUUGAAAUAAUAAACUAUAAGAGACUGAAUUUUAA
Molecule: long non-coding RNA, 1043 nt
Organism: Homo sapiens (human)
Lineage: Eukaryota; Metazoa; Chordata; Mammalia; Primates; Hominidae
Source: Ensembl